Molecule: long non-coding RNA, 2856 nt
Organism: Gorilla gorilla gorilla (western lowland gorilla)
Lineage: Eukaryota; Metazoa; Chordata; Mammalia; Primates; Hominidae
Exons: 7
Source: RefSeq, a predicted model, not a curated record
GCGCUCGCCGGCACCGCGAGUAAAGCUUGCACAGCCUGGGUCAUCGAAACUACAACUCCCAGAAGGCUAAGCGUCUGCACACGCUAGGUCCGCAGGGCCCUGACCCCUGGGGGCCCGAGGAGCGCCGGGCUGCUGCCCCGAGCCCCGCCCACUACAGCCUCAGUCCAUGGCGGUGGGCGCAGCCAGUAACUCAGGGGUGGGACUUUUUUCUUGCUCAGGGGAUGAGGCCGAGCCCACAGGCUUAGAAAGAAGGAACCUGAGUCUGGGCACCUGUCAUCCCAGCGCUUAGGGAGGCCGAGGCGGGUGGAUCACCUGAGGUCAGGAGUUCGAGACCAGCCUGGCCAAUAUGGCGAAACCGCCGUCUCUACUGAAAAUACAAAAAUUAGCCGAGCAUGGUGGCACGCACUUCCAGCUACUUGGAAGGCUGAGGCGGGAGAAUGGCUUGAACCUGGGAGGCGAGGGUUGCGGUGAGCUGAGAUCGCACCACUGCACUCCAGCCUGGGUGACAGAGCGAGACUUCGUCUCAAAAAAAAAAGAAGAAGAAAGAAGGAAGCUGAGGUUCAGACAGGCUAAGUCCCUACUGCAGGCUGCGGAAUCUAAAAAGGUCAUGAACUCUGAGAGUUUGAGCUGAGCCUCUAAAAGCUGUAUCAAUAGCACCUUGCACUGUUGAAGCAGGCCAUGAACUCUGAGAAUUUGGGCUGCAUUUUUAAAGCUGUAUCACUGGCAGUUUGUACUCAAAAAGCAGAUAGUGUCUUGCAAUGUCGCCCAGGCUGGAGUGCAGUGGUGCCCCUCCUGUUGUGAAUGGACAGAGUCCUGAGCAAGGAAACCUAGAAGGGAGAGAGGAAUAACCAUGGAAUUGAGUCCUGUCUGGUAGCACUGACAGACACAGUGGCCAGCCACCCUCAUGCCACCCUGUCCUGCCAUGGGAAGGAACAGCAGCUCUAGAGUUCCUAUGGGAACUCUCUUUCCUUCUCACUGAACUCUAGCUUCAUCAAUAACUCAGUGCCUCUGGCCAAGUUUUUAGCCUCUGGGACAACAUCCACUAUAUCCGUAUGAGGCACUCAUGUAACACGGUGAUUAAGAGUACAGAUGAUGGAGCCAGCAGCCUAAGUCUGAAUCCUGACUGCCAAUUAUUAAUAUAAGUUGUGGAACCAUGGUCAAGUUACUCAACCUCUUUAUGCCUCUGUCUCCUGGUCUACGAAAUGAAGCUUUGAAUCUGCUGUUAUUAAGUUGCUGGUGCUGAAAUAACACUUAUUAUUUAUGGUCUAACUGAAAUGGGAACACUGGAAACUUCUUUGAAACUGAAGAAAAAAAUGAAAAAGAAGUUUUUACAAUCAAAACUGCCAUGAAGACUGCUUUACCCAAAAUUUUGGUCCACAGCUUUCAUUGAAUUACUUAUCAGGGCAAACAAAGUUUAGCCAUGUGAACAGGUUCCAAUUUUGUUAGAAAUAAUUUGGAUCCAGCUAUCUUUAUACAAUGGUGAGUUCGUAUUGCAUCUCAUGGCUAAAAUUCUGAGGUAAAGGCUUUUGGAUCUUUGUGUGUGUGUGUGUGCAUGUGACAAAAACAAGCAAUGGGGAAAGGAGUCCCUAUUUAAUAAACGGUGUUGGGAGAACUGGCUAGCCAUAUGCAGAAAGUUGAAACUGGAGCCCCUCCUUAUACCAUAUACAAAAAUCAACUCAAGAUGAAUUAAAGACUUAAAUGUAAAAACCCAAACUAUAAAAACCCUAGAAGAAAAUCUAGGCAAUACCAUUCAGGACAUGGGCACAGGCAAAUAUUUCAUGACAAAGAUGCCAAAAGCAGUAGCAACAAAAGCAAAAAUUGACAAAUGGAAUCUAAUUAAACUAAAGAGCUUCUGUACAGCAAAGAAAUUAUCAUCAGAGUGAACAGACAACCUACAGCAUGGGAGAAAAUUUUUGCAAUAUAUCCAUCUGACAAAGGUCUAAUAUCCAGCAUCUACAAGGAACUUAAACAAAUUUACAAGAAAAAAAACAACACCAUUAAAAAAUGGGCAAAGGACGUGGACAGACACUUCUCAAAAGAAGAAAUUUCUGUGGGCAAUGAACAUUUUUUUUAAAAAAGCUCAACACCACUGAUCAUUAGAGAAAUGCACAUGAAAACCACAAUGAGAUACCAUCUCACACCAGUCAGAAUGGCUAUUACUUAAAGGUCAAAAAACAACAGAUGAUAGCAAGGUUGUGAAGAAAAAUGAACACUUUUAUACGUUGGUUGGAGUAUAAAUUAGUUCUACCCUUGUCGAAGACAGUGUGGUGAUUCCUCAAAGACCUAGGGGAAGAAAUAUCAUUUGACCCAGCAAUCUCAUUACUGGGUAUAUACCCAGAGGAAUAUAAAUCAUUCUAUUAUAAAGAUACAUGUGCAUGUUCAUUGCAAAAUAGCAAAAACAUGGAAUCAACCUAAAUGCUCAUCAAUGACAGACUUGAUAAAGGAAAUAUGGUACGUGUACACCAAGGAAUACCACGCAGCCAUAAAAAGGAACAAGAUAAUGUCUUUUGCAGGGACCUGGAUGGAACCAGAAGCCAUUAUCCUCAGCAAAUUAAUGCAGGAACAGAAAAGCAAAUACCACAUGUUCUCACUUAUAAGUGGAAGCUGAAUGAUGAGAACACAUGGACACAUGGUGGGGAACAAUACACACUGGGGCCUGUUGCAGGGUGCGGAGCGGGAGGGAGAGCAUCGGGAAGAAUAGCUAAUGCAUGCUGGGCUUAAUACCUAGGGGAUGGAAUGAUCUGUGCAGCAAACCACUAUGGCACACAUUUACCUAUGUAACAAACCUACACAUCCUGCACAUGUACCCCUGACCUUAAAAUAAAAGUUGGAAAUAAAAAAAACCCUAAACAUAUA